UGAUGGUGGGUUGUGUUUAGGAGUAGUAUUAACAUGAGACAGUGAUGGUGGGUUGUGUUUAGGAGUAGUAUUAACAUGAGACACAGUGAUGGUGGGUUGUGUUUAGGAGUAGUAUUAACAUGAGACACAGUGAUGGUGGGUUGUGUUUAGGAGUAGUAUUAACAUGAGACACAGUGAUGGUGGGUUGUGUUUAGGAGUAGUAUUAACAUGAGACACAGUGAUGGUGGGUUGUGUUUAGGAGUAGUAUUAACAUGAGACACAGUGAUGGUGGGUUGUGUUUAGGAGUAGUAUUAACAUGAGACAGUGAUGGUGGGUUGUGUUUAGGAGUAGUAUUAACAUGAGACACAGUGAUGGUGGGUUGUGUUUAGGAGUAGUAUUAACAUGAGACACAGUGAUGGUGGGUUGUGUUUAGGAGUAGUAUUAACAUGAGACAGUGAUGGUGGGUUGUGUUUAGGAGUAGUAUUAACAUGAGACAGUGAUGGUGGGUUGUGUUUAGGAGUAGUAUUAACAUGAGACACAGUGAUAGUGGGUUGUGUUUAGGAGUAGUAUUAACAUGAGACACAGUGAUGGUGGGUUGUGUUUAGGAGUAGUAUUAACAUGAGACACAGUGAUGGUGGGUUGUGUUUAGGAGUAGUAUUAACAUGAGACACAGUAAUGGUGGGUUGUGUUUAGGAGUAGUAUUAACAUGAGACAGUGAUGGUGGGUUGUGUUUAGGAGUAGUAUUAACAUGAGACAGUGAUGGUGGGUUGUGUAUAGGAGUAGUAUUAACAUGAGACACAGUGAUGGUGGGUUGUGUUUAGGAGUAGUAUUAACAUGAGACAGUGAUGGUGGGUUGUGUUUAGGAGUAGUAUUAACAUGAGACACAGUGAUGGUGGGUUGUGUUUAGGAGUAGUAUUAACAUGAGACACAGUGAUGGUGGGUUGUGUUUAGGAGUAGUAUUAACAUGAGACACAGUGAUGGUGGGUUGUGUUUAGGAGUAGUAUUAACAUGAGACACAGUGAUGGUGGGUUGUGUUUAGGAGUAGUAUUAACAUGAGACACAGUGAUGGUGGGUUGUGUUUAGGAGUAGUAUUAACAUGAGACACAGUGAUGGUGGGUUGUGUAUAGGAGUAGUAUUAACAUGAGACAGUGAUGGUGGGUUGUGUCACAGAAAAACACAGCCAUUUUUCCAGCCAAAGAGUGGACUCACAAAAAGCAGAAACAGAGAAUUAAUCAAAUUAAUCACUAACCUUUGAUGAUCUUCAUCAG
This is a long non-coding RNA of Oncorhynchus keta (chum salmon), 1247 nucleotides long. RefSeq lists it as uncharacterized. NCBI's taxonomy places the organism in Eukaryota, Metazoa, Chordata, Actinopteri, Salmoniformes, Salmonidae. The record is from RefSeq and is a predicted model, not a curated record. The transcript is spliced from 3 exons.